This 443-nucleotide ribosomal RNA is filed under the name uncultured bacterium. Its description in RNAcentral is "partial 16S ribosomal RNA". It matches the Rfam family "Bacterial small subunit ribosomal RNA", at positions 338 to 795 of the family's 1533-position model. The record is from RNAcentral.
CCUACGUGUGGCAGCAGUGGGGAAUAUUGGGCAAUGGGCGCAAGCCUGACCCAGCAACGCCGCGUGAAGGAAGAAGGCUUUCGGGUUGUAAACUUCUUUUGUCAGGGACGAAGCACGUGACGGUACCUGACGAAUAAGCCACGGCUAACUACGUGCCAGCCGCCGCGGUAAUACGUAGGUGGCAAGCGUUAUCCGGGUGUACUGGGUGUAAGGGGCGUGUAGGCGGGACUGCAAGUCAGAUGUGAAACCCACGGGUCAAACCUGUGGCCUGCAUUUGAAACUGUAGUUCUUGCGUACUGGAGAGGCAGACGGAAGUCCUAGGGUAGCGGUGAAAUGCGUAGAUAUUAGGAGGAACACCAGGGGCGAAGGCGGUCUGCUGGACAGCAACUGACGCUGAGGCGCGAAAGCGUGGGGAGCAAACAGGAUUAGAUACCCCGGUAGUC